RNAcentral lists this ribosomal RNA (256 nucleotides) under uncultured bacterium. RNAcentral's name for it is "partial 16S ribosomal RNA". It matches the Rfam family "Bacterial small subunit ribosomal RNA", at positions 524 to 776 of the family's 1533-position model. The record is from RNAcentral.
GACAGAGGGGGCAAGCGUUGCUCGGAAUUACUGGGCGUAAAGGGCGCGUAGGCGGGGAUGGCAAGUCGGUCGUGAAAUCCCUCGGCUCAACCGAGGAACGUCGAUCGAUACUGCUGUUCUUGAGGAUUGCAGAGGAGACUGGAAUUCCCGGUGUAGCGGUGAAAUGUGUAGAGAUCGGGAGGAACACCGGUGGCGAAGGCGGGUCUCUGGGCAAUUCCUGACGGCUGAGGCGCGAAAGCGUGGGGGAGCAAACGGG